RNAcentral lists this ribosomal RNA (325 nucleotides) under Eisenia andrei. Its description in RNAcentral is "partial 12S ribosomal RNA". It matches the Rfam family "Bacterial small subunit ribosomal RNA", at positions 957 to 1520 of the family's 1533-position model. Lineage: Eukaryota; Metazoa; Annelida; Clitellata; Crassiclitellata; Lumbricidae. The record is from RNAcentral.
AUCCACGACCAUCUUACCCCUUCUAGAUUAAUCAGCUUGUGUACUGCCGUCGUAAGCACACCUCUAAAAGCAACUCAGUAUGCAAAUAUGACUAACCCUCAUUUACGUCAGGUCAAAGUGCAGCUAAUGAUGGGGUGAUGAUGGGUUACACCCUAAACACAGACACGAAAUAUAGUCUCAAAAACUAUAUAAAGGUGGACUUGGAUGUAAUUAUAAUCCAAAAUUACAAUGAAAUUGAAUCUAAGGCAUGCACACAUCGCCCGUCACUCUCGCCCAAAGGCGAGAUAAGUCGUAACAAAGUAGGUGUAACGGAAGUUGCACCUGU